Anas platyrhynchos (mallard) is the source of this 2306-nucleotide non-coding RNA. Lineage: Eukaryota; Metazoa; Chordata; Aves; Anseriformes; Anatidae. The record is from RefSeq and is a predicted model, not a curated record.
GCUGUUUUUUUUGUUUGUUUGUUUGUUUUUCCCCCCUCUGAGACUGUAUGAAACUUUAAGUUGUCUAAUGAAGAAGAGACUUUCUAGUAAUUUAGUAGAGAAGUUGAUUUGUAGUUGUUGUCAAUAAAUUUUGAAGAAGCUGAUUGGAACUGAAGAGUUGAGCAACCAAAACAACUGAGGAAAAUGCUGUCUGAAGUGUUUCAUACCAGUCAGGAGAUGCCAAGGAAGGAAUGUGUCCUAAGCAGCCCUUGGAAGACAUGACAAGAGAUGGAGAAGAGGUCUCUGUCUCACUGCUGGAGGAUUCUCUUUUGAACAAGACAAUGAAGCCUACUGUAAUUCUGAGGAGGGAUUUAUAAUGUUGUGGAGUGUCUGGACUCAAUGGAUGGACAGCUGAGGGUUACGUGGAAAAGCGAGCAGCCUAACGUUGAAGGAACAUCGGAAGAAGAUCACAGUUAGUGGUAGACUCAGCUGGGAAUGAAAACUGAGAUAAGGGUGGAAGUAGUACUGAUCCAAUGUUUCUAGUAUAUGAGGUCAAAGAGGCAUCUUGGCCACCUUAUUGCACUUCUGAGGGGUCAAAGUGCAGUGAUUUAUAACCACCUUUAACCCAGCACUGCCUACUCAAGCCUGCUGUCUGGAAAAAAACAGUUCAAUCUUAGGGGAUUUACUAGUGAACAAAUUACUGAGUUAUGGAUUUUUGCAUCUCUGGCAGAGGUAGAGUCCUAGGGCACCUGUCUUGUUAUCUGAACUCUGUGUUCAGAAUCUUGACCAGCUACUAUUAAUGUUACAGGCAACACUAGCAAGCCAAUGCCCACCAGCCCAACGUGAGCAACUACUUUAACAAAAAGCACAAAAAAGCAACUUUUUUUUUUUAACAAAAAAGUUGUACCCACAGUGGAAAGAACUGCAAUGUUAGUAAACACAUGGAUAACUUACAUCAAAGGGUUUGGGACAUUGAACUGAACUUUCUGGGUGGAGCAUAAAUAGGAAAAAAUAAAACACCAUACUGAUGAAAAUCUCCUUGACAGCCAGUUGACUGCAGAUGGUCUGAUGCCCAGUACUAGGCAGUGCAGAUAACAGCGCCGCACCACCUACUGAAAGGGUUAACACAGGGUAGGAUUUCCUGCUGCAGAUGAUAAUCUAAUGCCCUUGAUGUUCUUGUUAAUAAAUCAGGUUUGAGCUGCUGUUCCCGAUUUUGAUGCUGUCCUUGGGAGAGGUUGUCACACAGUUGCUUAAGAGGGAGCAUAAUGGUUUAUGACUACAGCACCUGAAGUCCUCUCAUGGAAUGCGUUCCCAGGAGAUCCUAAUCAUACAAAACUAAUAUUGCUUGGCUAGUGAUAAUGUCAUGCUGCCAAGCUAAGUUACAUGGCUUGCUGUGGCAAACACCUGACUGAUUAAUUUUAAUUCAACAUAAAUAGAAAGAGUGUCAAGGAAAUAUCGUAAAUAAAAAAUGGCUCUACAUGUGAAGGUAUUAGUUGGAGGACUGAUGAGCCAGAAUGGCAUUGCCACGUUUCUCAGUAACCUCUGACAGUACUGAUGAGGUAACAAGUGAUCCUUGGCUCAGUUGUGGAAAAAGUGCACUGAGGACUGAGAAGCCCUGAACAGAAGGAAUUUCUCUUUUGAGAGACAAUAAAAAGAGAGAAAACAUAAGGAAGGAGUAAAAUGUGGAUACAGGGUCAUGAAGUGAGGUUCCCAAAGCUGCUGGAAAAACUUUGUGGCAGAGUAAGCACUGCAAGCUCUACCUUCCUCUGGUGAUUUCAGAGAGUACAGUGCAGUUUUUAUCCUUACACCACCCAGAGCUAUAAAAGAAAGUUUACUGCUUUCUGUUUUAACUGAUGAAGGAGCUGAGAUGGGCUGAAGGGAAACACCACUGUGAAGGGAAUGGGGUGAAGUAUGGUCUGCUUCAUUCCCACAGUUUGUUCUCAUCUCCCUUACAGAGGUGACUCCUUGUUGAUGGAGGCAGUAUGUGGCACUCCUGCUGGGUGCACUCUGCUAUGAUCAGCUGCAGGUUGAUAUUACUGAUGAAAUUAGCUAACAAACUACUAUUCCUGUAGCAAGGCUUUUUAAUAAUUUGCAGCCUGAAAAUAAGGUAAGGUGUGUGUGUGUGUCAAAAUAUAUGUGAAUGAAACGAAUCAUUUAAGCUCCUCUCAAGUUGCCGGUUCAAAUCUACUCACUCUGGCCAGAUCUUUUUAUAUUCGUAAUCUGGUUGCUCACUUUGGACUCAAUCCACAGACUUUCCUGUUUGUCUUUUUGGGGGUUAUAUGUAAACAGCUAAUCAUGUUACAGUCAAUAAAUGACUCGGAGUUGCA